This 314-nucleotide RNase P RNA is filed under the name Aquimarina sp. AD1. Its description in RNAcentral is "RNase P RNA component class A". It matches the Rfam family "Bacterial RNase P class A". Rfam says of the family: Ribonuclease P (RNase P) is a ubiquitous endoribonuclease, found in archaea, bacteria and eukarya as well as chloroplasts and mitochondria. Its best characterised activity is the generation of mature 5'-ends of tRNAs by cleaving the 5'-leader elements of precursor-tRNAs. The record is from RNAcentral. Lineage: Bacteria; Pseudomonadati; Bacteroidota; Flavobacteriia; Flavobacteriales; Flavobacteriaceae.
UAAGCAGAUCACCUUAUCGCUGUUUUGAUUUAUCAAAAGAGAGGAAAGUCCGGACACCAUAGUGCAGUAUAGCGGGUAACGCCCGUCCGUCGUGAGAUGAGGACAAGUGCAGCAGAAAGUAUGUACAGGUAAGGCUGUAGUGAAACCAGGUAAACUCUAUACGGUGCAACGCCAUGUAUACCAACGCUUAAGGGUUGCGCGCCCAAUGUUGGAGGGUAGGCGGUUUGAUCUUGAUAGUAAUAUCAAGGCUAGAUAAAUGAUAAGGAUUCCAUCUUUGAUGGAUUACAGAAUCCGGCUUAUGAUCUGCUUUUUUU